RNAcentral lists this unclassified non-coding RNA (424 nucleotides) under soil metagenome. RNAcentral describes it as "partial contains 5.8S ribosomal RNA, internal transcribed spacer 2, and large subunit ribosomal RNA". The stretch from base 1 to 120 matches the Rfam family "5.8S ribosomal RNA", at positions 35 to 154 of the family's 154-position model. The record is from RNAcentral.
GAUGAAGAACGCAGCGAAAUGCGAUAAGUAAUGUGAAUUGCAGAAUUCAGUGAAUCAUCGAAUCUUUGAACGCACCUUGCGCUCCUUGGUAUUCCAAGGAGCAUGCCUGUUUGAGUAUCAUUAAAUUAUCAACUGUGCCAAUUUGGUUACAGAUUGGAUGUGGGAGAUUCUUUUUGCAGGCCUUUGACUUCUCUUUGAGAAAAAAAAUAAAAGGUCGGCUCUCCUGAAAUGUAUUAGCAGUGCCUUUGUUGGUUCAUUAGGUGUGAUAAAUUGUCUACAUCUUCGCAUGAUACCUUCAUUUGUAAAGGUCAUAUUGCUUCUAAAUUGUCUUUGAUUGGACGCAAAACAUAUAUAAUGUUUGACAAACUUGAUCUCAAAUCAGGCAGGACUACCCGCUGAACUUAAGCAUACAAUAAGCGGAGGA